GGAGAGAUGGCCGAGCGGUUGAAGGCGACGGUCUCGAAAACCGUUGCGCCGGUUUCCGGCGCCGUGGGUUCGAAUCCCACUCUCUCCGCCA
Molecule: transfer RNA, 91 nt
Filed under: Chloroflexota bacterium
Lineage: Bacteria; Bacillati; Chloroflexota
Also listed under: 1 other name
Description: tRNA-Ser
Rfam family: tRNA
About the family: Transfer RNA (tRNA) molecules are approximately 80 nucleotides in length.
Source: RNAcentral